Amyelois transitella is the source of this 2582-nucleotide RNA transcript. It is a transcript of the gene named histone acetyltransferase Tip60, with no coding region annotated. NCBI's taxonomy places the organism in Eukaryota, Metazoa, Arthropoda, Insecta, Lepidoptera, Pyralidae. The transcript is spliced from 14 exons. The record is from RefSeq and is a predicted model, not a curated record.
GGCCAGUUGGUCAGUGUUUUCAAGACUGUGGCCCUGUUUGGGUGUGAAAAUAUAAUAUUUUAGAAGAAAAUCCUUUAUUUAUUGAAAUGAACGAAAUCGACGAUGAGUUAUCUACAUUUUGUGAUUCAGCGACAGCGUUGGUGGAAGGAUGUCGCUUGCCUGUGCGUAUGCAAGGAGGCGAUGACUGGCCACUUGCAGAAAUUAUAAGCAUCAAAGAAAUACGCGGACAACGAGGAUAUUAUGUUCACUAUGUUGAUUUUAACAAGCGUCUGGAUGAAUGGGUUGGUGAGUCAUGGCUGGACACACGCAAGGUGCAGUUUCCCAGGAGAGAUGGAGCUCCCACGGGAGGCACAACCACUCCGAAGAAGACCCAUAUUGGAUCAGGAGGUGGCGUCAUGCCUAAUUUUAUUAAUGAAAGUGUCAGCAAUGACACUGUGAGGCCUAGUAGCAAUAGCCAUAAAGCCACUAACGCGAGCCACCCGACCCCCCCAAAAAUACCUGAAAAGAUCCACCCCACCAAUGCACUCAAUGGUUCUGCUCAAAAAUCAGCACAUGUGAGCCUGCCAGGGGAGCCCCGGCAGCUGAUAUCGCGGCCGGCGAGCCCCACCCUCGGCCAUGACACGUCGUCAUUGGUCAAUGGCGGCGCUGUAUUGGCCGCCGCGCUGCAGAAAAAGAUGAACAGGAAACGGAAGGCCAACUCGCUGGAUAAUGAUCCUGAUGUGUUACCAUCUUUGGAAGCGGCGGAGGGCGAAGCGGCAAGCGGGGCGGCGACCCCCACCACUCGACCGCGGCAAUCCGGAAGCAUGUUGGCUCAUGGACAUGACGAUUUGGUCACCAGGAUGAAGAAUAUAGAGAUGAUUGAACUGGGACGGCAUAGAAUACGGCCGUGGUAUUUUGCGCCAUAUCCUCAGGAAAUGGUGAAUCUGCCCUGCAUCUACAUUUGUGAAUUUUGUCUGAAAUAUAGAAAGAGUAAAAAGUGUUUAGAAAGACAUUUGAUAAAAUGCAAACUAAAACAUCCGCCCGGCAACGAAAUAUAUCGUAAAGGCAGUAUAUCAUUCUUCGAAAUCGACGGACGCAAAAAUAAAUGUUACGCCCAAAACCUGUGUUUACUCGCCAAACUGUUCUUGGACCACAAGACGUUGUACUACGACACCGACCCGUUCCUGUUUUAUGUUAUGACUGAAUUUGAUUCUAGAGGUUUUCACAUAGUGGGUUAUUUUUCGAAAGAAAAAGAGAGUACAGAAGACUACAAUGUAGCAUGUAUUUUAACUUUACCGCCAUACCAAAGGAAAGGGUAUGGAAAGCUGCUCAUAGAAUUCAGCUAUGAACUAUCCAAAUUCGAGGGCAAAACUGGAUCGCCAGAGAAGCCGCUGUCGGACCUUGGGUUGCUCUCGUACAGGAGCUACUGGGCGCAGACGAUACUGGACAUCCUCAUGCACAGCAAACCUGUCGGCGACAACGAGAAGCCCAUCAUUACUAUCAAUGAAAUCUGCGAACUGACCAGCAUAAAGAAAGAAGAUGUAAUAAGCACCUUACAGAACCUCAACCUUAUAAACUAUUAUAAGGGCCAGUACAUCAUAUCGGUCAAUAAGGAACUAAUACAGCAACACGAGAAAGCUAUGGAGAAAAGGACGUUACGAAUAGACCCAAAAUGUCUACACUGGACGCCAAAAGAUUGGUCCAAACGCUCUAAAUGUGUUUGAAGUGGCAACGUUUCGGAGACGCGACCUACCUAACAGGCCACGAAACGUAUGCAGUAUUUAUUUUUUGUAUCUAACUCCUAUGUGCUGUAAAACAAUGUAAAGCCCUGAUGAUGCAGUACAACAACGCUCUAGUCAACGUGUUGAUAACAGAUCUUUUUGUACUAAUUAACAUUCAAAUUAACUUUAAAAAUUAGUUUCCUGGUGUAACUAUUUUUAUUGUCAAAAUAAUAAACUAUUAUUUUUUUGAUCACUUGACCUUCUAUUUAAAAUUAAUAGUGUUUACAAAUGCGGUUAAGAAGACAGUAUAAGCCGGAAUAUUAAAACCAUUUCACAAAGAAACUAACAAAUCUCGUGCUGACUUUGUUUAGAGUAUGCAUGAUGACAUAACAAAAGUAUUUUAGUCUACCUCUUCAUUGAUUCAGUUGCCUUAGAAUUCUAGUACUUACAGAGAAAAAAAGUAAAACAGUGACUGAUGUAGAUUUUAUGUUAAACAGAAUGUAUUCUGUAAUAAUUCAAUAUGAAAGUAGUUAUUUUAUUGUUUAAUUGUCAUACUAUAUUUGCUCAUCAAACGCGUUUCAAUGUAAAAGCGCUUAUUUUUACUUCCCUUGUAUACAACCUUUUUUUAAAUAAAUAACAUAUGAAGGCUUUUAAAGUAGAAAACCUAGUAUAUCUGGUCCUCAUUCACUUUUUAUUUUUGAUCCGCUCUUUUUCAUCUCAAUUUGCAAAUUAUUAAAGAUUUUUUAAUAAGUCUUUUCUCGUUGAAUGCGUCGUUUACUGAUGGGUGUGUGAUUAUUACUUUGAAAUGUUGUUGUAAAUUGUAGCCUUGUUAUUAGGCUCAUGUGUUUUAGUUUAAAUAUGCUCUUUAAGGAGUGUUUAGUA